GGGUCAGUAGGUUGGUCGUGCCACCGGUACGUACUGGUCUCACUGAUUCCUCCUUCCUGAAGAACCGUAAUGCCAUUAAUUUGGUGUUGCGGGGAAACAGGACUGUUACUUUGGAAAAAUUAGAGUGUUUAAAGCAAGCUAACGCUUGAAUAUAUUAGCAUGGAAUAAUGAAAUAGGACGAUCGAUCCUAUUUUGUUGGUUUCUAGGAUUGACGUA
Molecule: ribosomal RNA, 216 nt
Filed under: Glomeromycotina sp.
Lineage: Eukaryota; Fungi; Glomeromycota
Description: partial small subunit ribosomal RNA
Rfam family: Eukaryotic small subunit ribosomal RNA (bases 40-216)
Source: RNAcentral